This 1385-nucleotide ribosomal RNA is filed under the name uncultured Pelagibacterales bacterium. RNAcentral's name for it is "bacterial SSU rRNA". It matches the Rfam family "Bacterial small subunit ribosomal RNA". Lineage: Bacteria; Pseudomonadati; Pseudomonadota; Alphaproteobacteria; Candidatus Pelagibacterales. The record is from RNAcentral.
UACGCUGGCGGCACGCCUAACACAUGCAUGUCGAACGAAGUAGCAAUACUUAGUGGCAGACGGGUGAGUAACAUGUAGGUAUCUGCCCUUUGGCCUGGAAUAACACGAGGAAACUUGUGCUAAUACCGGAUAAGUCUUUACGGAGAAAGCUUUAUGCACCAUUGGAUGAGCCUGCACUUGAUUAGUUUGUUGGUGGGGUAAUGGCCUACCAAGACUGUGAUCAAUAGCUGAUUUGAGAGGAUGAUCAGCCACAUUGGGACUGAGACACGGCCCAAACUCCUACGGGAGGCAGCAGUGGGGAAUCUUGCACAAUGGAGGAAACUCUGAUGCAGCGAUGCCGCGUGAGUGAAGAAGGCCCUUGGGUUGUAAAGCUCUUUCGUCGGGGAAGAAAAUGACUGUACCCGAAUAAGAAGGUCCGGCUAACUUCGUGCCAGCAGCCGCGGUAAUACGAAGGGACCUAGCGUAGUUCGGAAUUACUGGGCUUAAAGAGUUCGUAGGUGGUUGAAAAAGUUAGUGGUGAAAUCCCAGAGCUUAACUCUGGAACUGCCAUUAAAACUUUUCAGCUAGAGUAUGAUAGAGGAAAGCAGAAUUUCUAGUGUAGAGGUGAAAUUCGUAGAUAUUAGAAAGAAUACCAAUUGCGAAGGCAGCUUUCUGGAUCAUUACUGACACUGAGGAACGAAAGCAUGGGUAGCGAAGAGGAUUAGAUACCCUCGUAGUCCAUGCCGUAAACGAUGUGUGUUAGACGUUGGAAAUUUAUUUUCAGUGUCGCAGGGAAACCGAUAAACACACCGCCUGGGGAGUACGACCGCAAGGUUAAAACUCAAAUGAAUUGACGGGGACCCGCACAAGUAGUGGAGCAUGUGGUUUAAUUCGAAGAUACGCGCAGAACCUUACCAACACUUGACAUGUUCGUCGCGACUCUAAGAGAUUAGAGUUUUCGGUUCGGCCGGACGAAACACAGGUGCUGCAUGGCUGUCGUCAGCUCGUGUCGUGAGAUGUUGGGUUAAGUCCCGCAACGAGCGCAACCCUCACUUUUAGUUGCCAUCAUUAAGUUGGGCACUCUGAAAGAACUGCCAGUGAUAAGCUGGAGGAAGGUGGGGAUGACGUCAAGUCCUCAUGGCCCUUACGUGUUGGGCUACACACGUGCUACAAUGGUAUCUACAACAGGAAGCAAGACUGCGAAGUUAAGCAAAUCCCGAAAAGAUACCUCAGUUCGGAUUGCACUCUGCAACUCGAGUGCAUGAAGCUGGAAUUACUAGUAAUCGUAGAUCAGCGUGCUACGGUGAAUGCGUUCCCGGGUCUUGUACACACCGCCCGUCACACCAUGGGAGUUGGUUCUACCUUAAGGCAAGGUUUUAAACCCUUGACCACGGUAUAGUCAGCGA